RNAcentral lists this ribosomal RNA (398 nucleotides) under uncultured fungus. RNAcentral's name for it is "SSU rRNA". It matches the Rfam family "Eukaryotic small subunit ribosomal RNA", at positions 30 to 433 of the family's 1831-position model. Lineage: Eukaryota; Fungi. The record is from RNAcentral.
GCUUGUCUCAAAGAUUAAGCCAUGCAUGUCUAAGUAUAAGCAAUUAUACGGCGAAACUGCGAAUGGCUCAUUAUAUAAGUUAUCGUUUAUUUGAUAGUACUUUACUACUUGGAUAACCGUGGUAAUUCUAGAGCUAAUACAUGCUAAAAAUCCCGACUUCGGAAGGGAUGUAUUUAUUAGAUUAAAAACCAAUGCCCUUUGGGCUCCUUGGUGAAUCAUGAUAACUUCUCGAAUCGCAUGGCCUUGCGCCGGCGAUGGUUCAUUCAAAUUUCUUCCCUAUCAACUUUCGAUGUUUGGGUAUUGGCCAAACAUGGUCGCAACGGGUAACGGAGGGUUAGGGCUCGACCCCGGAGAAGGAGCCUGAGAAACGGCUACUACAUCCAAGGAAGGCAGCAGGC